ACUUGGAUAACUGUAGUAAUUCUAGAGCUAAUACAUGAAUAUGUGCUUUGGUUCACGCCAAAUGCGAAUUUAUUAGAUCAAAACCAACCGGUUUCGGCCGUUAAAUUGGUGACUCUGGAUAACUAUUCUGAUCGCAUGACCUUGUGUCGGCGACGUAUCUUUCAAGUGUCUGCCCUAUCAACUUAAGUUGGUGGGUUAGUUGCUCACCAUGGUUAUAACGGGUAACGGAGAAUCAGUGUUCGAUACCGGAGAGGGAGCCUUAGAAACGGCUACCACAUCUGAGGAAGGCAGCAGGCGCGCAAAUUACCCACUCUCAGAACGAGGAGGUAGUGAAUUUAAAUAGCGAUGAUGAACUCUUAUGAGGCUCGUCAAUCGAAAUGAGUACAAUUUAAAUCCUUUAACGAGUACCAAUUGGAGGGCAAGUCUGGUGCCAGCAGCCGCGGUAAUUCCAGCUCCAAUAGCGAAUAUUAAAUUUGUUGCAGUUAAAAAGCUCGUAGUUGGAUCCAAGGUUAGGCAUGCCUGUCUGUUCUUAGUAGCAUGACUGUGUGUGUCUGCCUUUAUUAGUUGAAUGUUCAUUAUGGUGGUCUUCAUCGACUGCUAUGAUGUGCUCAACACGUUUUACCUUGAAAAAAUCAGAGCGAUCAAGGCAGGCCUUCGUGCUUGUAUGUUGUUGCAAGGAAUAAUAGAAUAGGACUUCGGUUCUAUUUUGUUGGUUUUGAGAAUUGAAGUAAUGAACAAUAGAGACAGUCGGGGGCAUUUGUAUGGUGGCGUUAGAGGUGAAAUUCUGAGAUCGUCGCCAGACAAACUACUGCGAAAGCAUUUGCCAAGGAUGUCUUCAUUAAUCAAGAACGAAAGUCAGAGGUUCGAAGACGAUCAGAUACCGUCCUAGUUCUGACCAUAAACGAUGCCGACCUACAAUCGGGGGUGGUUUAUUAUAUUGACCCUCCCGGCUGUCCUCAGGAAACUUUAAGUUGGUUCUGGGGGGAAUAUGGUCUCAAGACUGAAACUUAAAGGAAUUGACGGAAGGGCACCACCAGGAGUGGAGCCUGCGGCUUAAUUUGACUCAACACGGGGAAUCUCACCCGGUCCGGACACUGGUAGGAUGGACAGAUUGAUAGCUCUCUCUUGAUUCAGUGGGUGGUGGUGCAUGGCCGUUCUUAGUUGGUGGAGUGAUUUGUCUGGUUAAUUCCGAUAACGAACGAGACUCUGUCCUGCUAAAUAGUCCAGUGGCAUCAAUCACUAUGUGAUUACAGCUGCUGUUACUUCUUAGAGGGAUUCGCG
This 1281-nucleotide ribosomal RNA is filed under the name metagenome. RNAcentral's name for it is "SSU rRNA". It matches the Rfam family "Eukaryotic small subunit ribosomal RNA", at positions 137 to 1425 of the family's 1831-position model. The record is from RNAcentral.